GUACUAGGGUGGACGACAAAGGAGCCUUGGUUUCAUUUUCCACCUUGAACAUCCACUUACAGCUCACCUGAAGCAAUGAAAAGAAUAAGACCAGAAGAAUAAAGACAGGGAGGGAUGUUAUGACAUGUUUUUAACAGAUAGUAUGAAUGGGGAGGUCUGAGUAAUAGUCCCAAAGGAGAGGGACAUCAAGCAAAGACAACCAAGACAAUGGCUGUGUGGCACUAUGGCUGUGGUUGGCCACCUCAUUCAGGGUGCUUCUGAAACAGACCUUCCAUUGAUCUACCUAGAGUUAGUCUAUCCUUGUUCAUGAACACAGGGUGCUCAUCAAUACCAUAAGUAGGAAAGGGGGAAUGGUUCUCUACCAGUUUGUAAGGUGACAUUUUUUGUUGCUCUGAAGGCUUUGGUCACACUCCCAACAGGUUUUGGCUCAGCCUUGUUUUCAAAAUGAAUGGCUAAUGGGUUAGUGCCCUCUUUAUACUGUUGUGUGUCUUUCCAAACUGAGGCCCUGGGAUGUAUACUUUGUUUCAUGAGAUGAUUUGCUUUUUUGGAAAAAAAAUAAUGAUUUUUAAGCUCUUUGUAUCUUGGAUUUUUUUCCCCCUAAAAUGUUCUUAAAGAUAACAAUAGAAUCCAACUCCAGGGCUCACUUUUAUCAACAGAUAUUUAUAAAUUUAAAAUCUCCCUGUGGCAAAAUGAUUUCAAUGAAUGUUGUGCUCUCUUUCAAUUUUUCAAUUUUUCUCAUGUACGACAAAAAAGGAAAAUCCAAUCUACUUUUCUCUUUUGAUAUACGUGCCCCACUGUGAAUCCAAGGCUAGAUCCAGUCCCUCGGUUGUCUGCUUGGUUGUGAGUGGUAUUCUAGAUGAAAACUGUCCCGGUAAAAUCUCCCUUGAACAUACAGAGAGCAAACCAGGGAUGGAUGGAGAAGAACGAUGAAAAGAAUGCUGGAGUGCUCUCUUCUGCAGUCGCCUUCUCAUAUCAUCUUAGCUGAACGCACCCAAGGAUGGAUGUAAAGGCCUCUGCUGCAACCUCUGACAG
This 1032-nucleotide long non-coding RNA is filed under the name Rattus norvegicus (Norway rat). RNAcentral's name for it is "long non-coding RNA NONRATT002766". Lineage: Eukaryota; Metazoa; Chordata; Mammalia; Rodentia; Muridae. The record is from RNAcentral.